GGAAUCCUGAAACACGCAUCCCCUCAGUCAGACAGUUUAAAUGUCAGUCUGACUUACAUUAUUACAUUCAAUAUCUUUCCUUAUUAAUGUGUAGUACGGUGUAGUAGGUGUGUAGUAAAUGUGUAGUAGCCCUGUUGAGUGUUGUAGGUGUGUAGUAAACGUGUAGUAGCCCUGUUGAGUGUUGUAGGUGUGUAGUAAACGUGUAGUAGCCCUGUUGAGUGUUGUAGGUGUGUAGUAAACGUGUAGUAGCCCUGUUGAGUGUUGUAGGUGUGUAGUAAACGUGUAGUAGCCCUGUUGAGUGUUGUAGGUGUGUAGUAAACGUGUAGUAGCCCUGUUGAGUGUUGUAGGUGUGUAGUAAACGUGUAGUAGCCCUGUUGAGUGUUGUAGGUGUGUAGUAAACGUGUAGUAGCCCUGUUGAGUGUUGUAGGUGUGUAGUAAACGUGUAGUAGCCCUGUUGAGUGUUGUAGGUGUGUAGUAAACGUGUAGUAGCCCUGUUGAGUGUUGUAGGUGUGUAGUAAACGUGUAGUAGCCCUGUUGAGUGUUGUAGGUGUGUAGUAAACGUGUAGUAGCCCUGUUGUAUUGUGUAGUAGAGCAGCCAUCUCAGUAGUCAUGUUGAGUGUUGUAGGUGUGUAGUAAACGUGUAGUAGCCCUGUUGAGUGUUGUAGGUGUGUAGUAAACGUGUAGUAGCCCUGUUGUAUUGUGUAGUAGAGCAGCCAUCUCAGUAGUCAUGUUGAGUGUUGUAGGUGUGUAGUAAACGUGUAGUAGCCCUGUUGUAUUGUGUAGUAGAGCAGCCAUCUCAGUAGUCAUGUUGAGUGUUGUAGGUGUGUAGUAAACGUGUAGUAGCCCUGUUGAGUGUUGUAGGUGUGUAGUAAACGUGUAGUAGCCCUGUUGUAUUGUGUAGUAGAGCAGCCAUCUCAGUAGUCAUGUUGAGUGUUGUAGGUGUGUAGUAAACGUGUAGUAGCCCUGUUGAGUGUUGUAGGUGUGUAGUAAACGUGUAGUAGCCCUGUUGUAUUGUGUAGUAGAGCAGCCAUCUCAGUAGCCCUGUUGAGUGUUGUAGGUGUGUAGUAAACGUGUAGUAGCCCUGUUGUAUUGUGUAGUAGAGCAGCCAUCUCAGUAGUCAUGUUGAGUGUUGUAGGUGUGUAGUAAACGUGUAGUAG
Long non-coding RNA from Oncorhynchus keta (chum salmon), 1157 nucleotides. RefSeq lists it as uncharacterized. NCBI's taxonomy places the organism in Eukaryota, Metazoa, Chordata, Actinopteri, Salmoniformes, Salmonidae. The record is from RefSeq and is a predicted model, not a curated record. The transcript has 4 exons.